AACUUAAUUUGAUCGGAAAAUGCGAAUGAUGAAUAUCAAAUUUAUUAUUUCUUCACUUUGAUCCG
Molecule: small RNA, 65 nt
Filed under: Arabidopsis thaliana (thale cress)
Lineage: Eukaryota; Viridiplantae; Streptophyta; Magnoliopsida; Brassicales; Brassicaceae
Description: ATSL007700
Source: RNAcentral